UGCUUAAACACCGAGACAAAGAGUGGAUAUAGCGGCACUCCUUUCAUUUUCAGAGAAACAGCAUCACCGCCUUCUUCUUCUCCUCAUAUUCAUCGUCUUAUUCGAAUUCCAUCAACAAAACUCAAAUCAAUUUCCGUUCAAAUUGGCUCUCACCUUCUUCUUCAUCUUCUUCCAAAAGAUCGGGAGCUGCUGUAUACUACACUUGCACUAGCAAUUCAUAUCAGGUUCAUUCCAACAAGGAUGUAGGGCAAGUACUAAUGGAUAUAGAGAAUAUAUUUUUUGAUUACAAUCAGAUAAGCCUUCUUCUAACCGGAUAUAGCCUCAACAAUUAUGGCAUUUUCACAAUAAAGGUCACGUACUAUUUGUAUUCUUUCUGCCAGUGGUGUCAUCGGUAAUGUAACUCUUCGCCAGCCUGCAACCUCUGGUGCACUGUAACUUAUGAGGGUAGAUGUGAGAUAAUAUCUUUAAUAGGUUCAAUGGAUAUGAGAAAUGUUCAUGCUUGAUCUUACCACGUUGUGGCAAGAUGUUGAGAACAGAACAUUAUUAUCUGAUCUGAUCAUUAAGAAUUCUUCCCAGGAUGUAUUACGAGUAAAGAGUUGGGAAUAGUUAUGAGGUCAUUGGGCCAGAAUCCAUCCUACGGAAGCUAAACUGCAGGAUAUGAUCAAUGAAGUCAAUGUUGAUCAGAAUGGAACCAUUGAUUUCCCUAAGUUUCUUAAUCUCAUGGCCAAGAAAAUGAAGGUCACUCUCACUCUCACUUUUAAAUCUUAAAAUUCUUUGAACCAGAGACCUUCUCUAGUUUUGUAUUGUUUUGUUUGGGUUAAUGAAAUACACUGAUUAUGAGGAGGAACUGAAAGAAGCUUUCAACGUCUUUGACAAGGAUCAGAACGGAUACAUUUCUACUGCUGAACUUCGGCAUGUGAUGACAAACCUGGGGGAGAAGCUAACGGAUGAAGAGGUGGAUGAGAUGAUAAGAGAAGCUGACAUGGACGGUGAUGGUCAAGUUAAGUUCUGAUUAUGGGCAUUUGGGCAAUAAAAUGGUUAAAGUUUGUAACUCAAUAAAACUGUUAUUUCCAAUUCUUUGGCGUCUGACCCCGCAACGCGGGGUUCUUCCCUAGUUUAUUUUAUUCUGGACAUAAA
This is a non-coding RNA of Lactuca sativa (garden lettuce), 1137 nucleotides long. Lineage: Eukaryota; Viridiplantae; Streptophyta; Magnoliopsida; Asterales; Asteraceae. The record is from RefSeq and is a predicted model, not a curated record.